Non-coding RNA from Tachysurus fulvidraco (yellow catfish), 429 nucleotides. The record is from the annotation of a RefSeq genome assembly. Lineage: Eukaryota; Metazoa; Chordata; Actinopteri; Siluriformes; Bagridae.
GUGGGCUCUGGAGAGUUUAGCACUGCUUUUAGUUAUACGAUGUUCCUUCCAGUUCUGCUGCUGCUGGCAGCUUCAUCCUAUGUGGAAUGUGCAGUAGAGCUCACUCAGGACACCUCAGUGAUGUUAAAGCCUGGAGAUUCUUUAAUCCUCAGCUGUAAAGUAUCCGGUUACUCACUUACUGAUAACAGCUACGCCACAGCUUGGAUUCGACAUCCUGCAGGGAAAACUCUGGAAUGGAUAAACAACAUUUGGGGGGGUGGAAGUAUAGGUUAUAAAGAGUCUCUAAAAAGCAAGAUCAGUAUUUCUAAAGAUGCCUCCAGCAGCACGGUGACACUGAGAGGACAGAACAUGCAGACUGAAGACACAGCUGUGUAUUACUGCGCUCGUGUAAAUAAAGCCUCUAGAGGGUUUCAGCCUAUACCAGAAUGA